ACCGUGAGGGAAAGGUGAAAAGUACCCCGAUAAGGGGAGUGAAAGAGAACCUGAAACCGUGUGCUUACAAUCUGCGAGAGCCCAAUGGCAUGUCCUGGGUGAUCGCGUACCUUUUGCAUAAUGGGGCGGCGAGUUAUCCUAUGCAGCAUGGUUAAGCCGUGAGGUGGAGCCGUAGCGAAAGCGAGUCUUAACAGGGCGAUGGUUGCAUGGGGUAGACCCGAAACCGGGUGAGCUAGCUAUGGGCAGGUUGAAGCUGGGGUAGGACCCAGUGGAGGACCGAACACACGGAUGUUGAAAAAUCCGGUGAUGACCUGUGGCUAGGGGUGAAAGGCCAAUCAAACUCGGUAAUAGCUGGUUCUCUCCGAAAAAUAUUUAGGUAUUGCGUGGCGUGAAUCCUACCGGAGGUAGAGAUACUGAUUGGGCUAGGGCUCUCACCAGAGUACCAAACCCAACCAAACUCCGAAUGCCGGUAAGGAAUGCGCUGCAGGCAGACUGUGGGUGAGAAGGUCCAUAGUCGAGAGGGAAAGAGCCCAGACUGGCAGCUAAGGUCCCUAAAUGCGUGCUUAGUGGAAAAGGAUGUGGAGUUGCUGAAACAAUCAGGAUGUUGGCUUAGAAGCAGCCAUCGUUUGAAGAAAGCGUAAUAGCUCACUGAUCUAGCGACUCUGCGCCGAAAAUGUAACGGGGCUCAAGCACGCUACCGAAGCUCCAGGAUCCUUUUAGGAUCGGUAGGAGAGCGUUCCAGUCGCAGCGAAGCUCAACCGUGAGGAUGGGUGGAGCGUCUGGAAGUGAGAAUGCCGCCAUGAGUAGCGAUAAAGGGGGUGAGAAUCCCCCUCGCCGUAAGUCUAAGGUUUCCACGGCCAGGAGAAUCCUCCGUGGGUUAGUCGGCCCCUAAGGCGAGGCCGAGAGGCGUAGUCGAUGGGAAUCAGGUUAAUAAUCCUGGACCAUUCAUUAGAUGUUGAAACGAGCGGGGACGGAGAAGGAUAGCCCAGCCGGUCAUGGUAAUGCCGGUGAAAGGUUGUAGGGGGGUGCCGUAGGAAUAAACGCGGUGCUGUUAACCCUGAGAACUGAAUGGCGAAGAGGCCCUCGAGGCCUUGAGUGAGGUGAUUCCAUGCUUCCAAGAAAAGCCGCGCGCGGAGUCUAAUGAUUGACCGUACCGCAAACCGACACAGGUAGACAGGGUGAGUAUCCCAAGGCGCGUGAGAGAACUCUGGUUAAGGAACUCUGCAAAUUGGCACCGUAACUUCGGGAGAAGGUGUGCCCCCAUACCGUGAUCCGGCUUGCCCGGCGUAGCGGGAGGGGGUCGCAGUGACCAGGCGGUAGCGACUGUUUAGCAAAAACACAGGUCUCUGCUAAAUCGUAAGAUGAUGUAUAGGGGCUGACGCCUGCCCGGUGCCGGAAGGUUAAGAGGACGUGUGCAAGCACCGAAUCGAAGCCCCGGUAAACGGCGGCCGUAACUAUAACGGUCCUAAGGUAGCGAAAUUCCUUGUCGGGUAAGUUCCGACCUGCACGAAUGGCGUAACGACUUCCGCACUGUCUCAACCAGGGACUCAGCGAAAUUGAACUGCCGGUGAAAAUGCCGGCUACCCGCAGCAAGACGGAAAGACCCCGUGAACCUUUACUAUAGCUUGGCAGUGGUAUUUGGAUCAUUUUGUAGAGGAUAGGUGGGAGACUUUGAAGCGGGGGCGCUAGCUCUCGUGGAGUCAUCCUUGGAAUACCACCCUGAAUGUUCUGGAUACCUAACCUGGACCCUUGAAGCAGGGUCAGGGACACUGUCUGGUGGGUAGUUUGACUGGGGCGGUCGCCUCCCAAAGUGUAACGGAGGCGCGCGAUGGUUCCCUCAGCCUGUUUGGAAAUCAGGCGAAGAGUGCAAUGGCAGAAGGGAGCCUGACUGCGAGACUGACGGGUCGAGCAGGUACGAAAGUAGGUCAUAGUGAUCCGGUGGUCCCGAGUGGAAGGGCCAUCGCUCAACG
Molecule: ribosomal RNA, 1970 nt
Filed under: marine metagenome
Description: bacterial LSU rRNA
Rfam family: Bacterial large subunit ribosomal RNA
Source: RNAcentral